GGGAACUGGGGGCGAGCGGAGGCGGUAAUACGGGGGGGGGAAGGGUUAAGUGGAAUGACUGGGCGUAGAGCGAACGCAGGCGGGUAAGUAAGUCAGAUGGGAAAGCCCCGAGCUUAACGUGGGAAUUGCAUCUGAGACUGGGUGGCUAGAGUCUUGUAGAGGGGGGGAGAAUUCCGCGUGUAGCAGUGAAAUGCGUAGAGAUGUGGAGGAAGACCGGUGGCGAAGGCGGCCCCCUGGACAAAGACUGACGCUCAGGUGCGAAAGCGUGGGGAGCAAACAGGAUUAGAUACCCCAGUAGUC
This 300-nucleotide ribosomal RNA is filed under the name uncultured Thermococcus sp. RNAcentral describes it as "partial 16S ribosomal RNA". It matches the Rfam family "Bacterial small subunit ribosomal RNA", at positions 496 to 795 of the family's 1533-position model. Lineage: Archaea; Methanobacteriati; Methanobacteriota; Thermococci; Thermococcales; Thermococcaceae. The record is from RNAcentral.